This is a long non-coding RNA of Aquila chrysaetos chrysaetos, 146 nucleotides long. RefSeq lists it as uncharacterized. The transcript is spliced from 3 exons. NCBI's taxonomy places the organism in Eukaryota, Metazoa, Chordata, Aves, Accipitriformes, Accipitridae. The record is from RefSeq and is a predicted model, not a curated record.
CAUACUUGGAGACAUUCAAAAAUCAUCUGGACAUAGUCCUGGGCAACCAGCUCUAGGUGGCCCUGCUUGAGCAGGAUGGUUGGAUCAGAUGACCUCCACAUGUCUCUUCCAACCUCAACCACUCUGUGAUUCUCCAAAAGAUUUCU